This 3514-nucleotide long non-coding RNA is filed under the name Homo sapiens (human). RNAcentral describes it as "HSALNT0185679". The stretch from base 2837 to 2898 matches the Rfam family "U7 small nuclear RNA". The record is from RNAcentral. Lineage: Eukaryota; Metazoa; Chordata; Mammalia; Primates; Hominidae.
GUGCUUUAAAUUUGCAAAUGUUUUAUCUUUGAGAUCCUUAAACAGUAACACUAUUAAUCUUCAUCUUCAAGCUGCUAAGUUUGUUAUGAUAUGUUUAUACGUGUGUGUGUGUGUGUGUGUGUGUGUGUCUACGCAGAACUUUUUUUGGCUGGUCAUGUGACUCCUAGAACUGUAUCCUUCCAUCCACUAUGCAUUUCCCUAUGUAAAUAAUAUUAGCUUUCACUGGUGAUGGCAACAAGACAGAAGGAAUGAGGUCAAGGAGGAAAUAAAUUUGGAUAGAAAGAAGCCGUCAAAACCCUGUGAAUAAAAUUCACAAGCGAGUUUCGGUGACUCAUAAGAGCACAGAGAGGAGACACAGGGAUUAUUCAGGAGCAGGUUCCUGUAGGGUAGCAGGAGCUGCACAGCAGGAGUGUGGAGGGGCACAGGUCAGCACCAGGAUGCACCAAGGGCACCUGGGAAGUGCUGAGGGCCAGGCCACACUUAACUCGGGUCUGUGCCCUGCAGUGGGAAGAAGCCUCAGAGUAUUUUCAUCCUGCGAAUCUCCUCUGUGCAAGAAAAGACCAGUUGAUGUCCUUGAAAACUUUCCUAUUUGACCAGUUCAUUCUUAUUUCAAAAUUUUAUAUUAUUAUAUUUUUUAGAGACAGGGUCUCGCUAUGUUGCCCAGGCUGGACUCGAACUCCUGAGCUCAGUGAGACUCCCACCUCAGCCUCCUGAGUUGCUACCAUGCCCAGCUUGCCCAGUUCAUUUUUAAUGAGGCCAAACACAUUGGUCAUGCAGCUCACAAACAAAAGGGAAUGUCUGUAGUUCUGGUCAGUCACAAACUCAUUGUACUUUACAGAGAAAACUCCAUGCAGAAUGUUGAAAUAUCAUCCUCUAAAGGUUGACUCUAAGUAUACAGAAGCAGUGUAGGGGCACAGACAGCUCAGUUGAGCACUCAGCACAUCAAACAAGAAAGCAUGUGGUGGUUUCCCUCUACCCAGAGCAGGGUCUGAUACGGAGGAGCAAGCCUGGACUUUGUCCUUGGGCAAAUUGCCCCAUUAGGGGAGGAAGGAGCCCACUCUCCAGACUUUCUGGUUUGAAGCAGUACCUGGGUCUGAGCAGAGUGAGGAACACUUCCUGCUACAGCCAAACUAGACUAGCCUGGGCCCUGAGAUCCAUGACCUCACAUGUGCCUUUUUCUCCAGGCACACUGGAAAGCUUAGUCCCCCCGCCCCCGUGACUGUCUGUUCCCGAGAUAGUCCCUUUGCAUGGAGAAUCCGUGCCCAUCCCACCCACCCCCACACCAUAAAAAGUCAAUGUUAGAAGGUUUGAAUGGAUUUAGUGAUCAUGCACUCCAACCCUGCCUAUCUGUUCAUCAAAGUCCACUUCAAAUACCACUUUAUAAAGACAUUGUGGUUCUUCUGUCUCCCAAUUCAUUAUUACUUUGGUGCUCUGUUAUGGUAUACAUCACAUUCAGUCUUGUAUUAGAGUUGUUUGUGUACAUAUUUUCUGCCCUCACUCCAAGGCCAGCUUAAAACUUAUAAAUCUUAAAAUAUUUUGGCCUCCUAAAAAUUAAACAGUAUCAUUCAUAGUUUCCACUAUUAAAUAUUUUAUGCUUUUGGAAUAAAAUAUGUCAUUCUUCACCCCCUCUCCCAAAAACCCCAAAACUUUGUUCCUCUGCUUUUCUAGUUUCCCGUGUGCUGCUUAGUGGGUUUUCCAGCAGCCCUGGUCCCAAGCACAUGAGGGACUGUUAGCAUUUUCAAGACAAAAGUAUCCUUAACUCCUCUUCAUGAGCCUGCGAAGAUUAAACACGGAGCUCAGAACACAGUAUGAACACAAUAGAUGUAUGAUGAAAUGAAUAGGGCUAGCAUUAACUAAUGAGAGCUCCUCAAUGAUGAGCAAGAAGAAGGUGAAAUCAUGCCAUCCAAGGCUUCCCAGUGCCCCUGGAGACCACACAGCCCCUUUACACAGGAAAUGACGUGAUUCCUGAUAAGCAAGCAGUACACACUGCACAGCUUCCUUCCCUUCCUCCCCCUGCCACUCAGCACCUUUGGCAAAUAGCGGCCUGCCUUCAGCCUUCAUUAGGAAAGCCUUCAUUAGGCCUGCCUUCUUCUCUUCAUUCAUGAGAGAGUGGCAUUAACAGUGCACAAACUAAUGCUUCUUCAAAUUUUUCUGGGGUCUGCUGCUGCUACUGCUAAAAUCCGCUUGCCUUCGGACACAGUUUCUCAAAUGGCUUAAAAGCUUCUCUGCUUUUGAUCCCUGCAGCAUCACUUUCUACUCCCUCAAUCAGAAACCAGAAGCUACCCACCCCCAUUUCCUGUGUUCAUGAUAGUAGAAAGCAACAGAGAACAGUUGGCCCCUGAGCUGCCAGGUUGUGGGCUGGGUAGGGAGGAUCCAUUGCAGGAGCAUUGGAAAGCCUUGAGCACUCUGCCCUGCCUGUCCACACAGCAGCACCUUCACAGCCUUCUAGUAGUUCUGAUCAGAUUUCUGCCUCUUAAAGCGGCCCCACAGACUAAAAGCCAUCAUCUGGAAUUUGGAGUAAAAGGGCCCACAGGAAAUGAAGCACUCUAAGAAAAUUCAGCUGGGCAGGUAUUUUAAGGUCACUGACUGACUCCAAAGUGAAGGUAGAACCCAUAUUGACCGCAAUUCAUCACACUUCUGUAACUUCAGAACUCACUGCUGACUGGUGGAGAAGGUUGCAAUUGCAUUCAGUCCGAAUCUCUGAACAUAUUAUUUAGAAAUAUUAGCUUAUCCAGCUGCCUACGGAGCUUCCCAUCUGGGCUUUCAGUUGCUACAUUCUCUAAAGCCGUAUCUGACCCACACCUUACUAACACUAUGUGCUUCUACAGCAUUCACCCAGUGUUACAGCUCUUUUAGAAUCUGUCUAGCAGGUUUUCCAGUCUUCACUGGAAAGCCCUUGCCCCCAAAUAUAAAAAAAUAAUAAGGCAUUCACCCCUGAACUUUAGCAGGGCUUCCAAUCGCCUUUAAGCACUCAUUUAAAAGAAAAGUCUUUUAUUCCCUUAUAAUAGUAUUAAAUCAUUAGCAAAUGAUUCUCAAAACUAUUUUUUGAGUGCUCUCUUCUGUGUGAGAAUGUAGGAAAUGAUGACCAAGUAUACGAAGUUGGACAUGCCUAGUCCCAGGUGGCCUUUUCCUAUUGGCACAGCUGCUGGCAUUCACCCGUGCAAGCUUCUAGCUUGCUUGUCUAUGUCUGCAGCUUGAUUUUACAGGCUGCUCAUUGUAAGAAAAGAAAACGAUUUGAGGGCUGCUUUUCAUUAAAAGGAAAACCUUACUGAGGACUUCCUUACCCUCACUAUCUGCCUAAAUAAUUUCUUCUUAACUCCUAUAUCACUUAUAAGAGGAGAAAGCAGACACACAGGGGGAACUCAGUGUGACAGCACAGGCGGAGCCUGGAGGGAUGCCCAGGAAUGCCAAAGAGACGCACAGACUGGUUUCUCUCUCACAGCCCCCAGAAAAACCUAACCCUGCCAGUGAGAGGUGACAGCGUGCUGGCAGUCCUCACAGCCCUGCUCGCUCU